RNAcentral lists this ribosomal RNA (254 nucleotides) under uncultured bacterium. RNAcentral describes it as "partial 16S ribosomal RNA". It matches the Rfam family "Bacterial small subunit ribosomal RNA", at positions 524 to 776 of the family's 1533-position model. The record is from RNAcentral.
GACGUAGGGGGCCAGCGUUGUUCGGAAUUACUGGGCGUAAAGGGCGCGUAGGCGGCGUGACAAGUCACUUGUGAAAUCUCCGGGCUUAACCCGGAGCGGCCAAGUGAUACUGUCGUGCUAGAGUGCGGAAGGGGCUACUGGAAUUCUCGGUGUAGCGGUGAAAUGCGUAGAUAUCGAGAGGAACACCUGCGGCGAAGGCGGGUAGCUGGGCCGACACGUGACGCUGAGGCGCGAAAGCCAGGGGAGCGAACGGG